Molecule: transfer RNA, 72 nt
Organism: Ovis aries (sheep)
Lineage: Eukaryota; Metazoa; Chordata; Mammalia; Artiodactyla; Bovidae
Rfam family: tRNA
About the family: Transfer RNA (tRNA) molecules are approximately 80 nucleotides in length. Their secondary structure includes four short double-helical elements and three loops (D, anti-codon, and T loops).
Source: Rfam
UCCCUGGUGGCUCAGAUGACAAAGCGUCUGCUUGCAAUGCAGGAGACCUGGGUUCGAUCCCUGGGUUGGGAA